This 796-nucleotide ribosomal RNA is filed under the name uncultured Methanosarcinaceae archaeon. RNAcentral's name for it is "bacterial SSU rRNA". It matches the Rfam family "Archaeal small subunit ribosomal RNA", at positions 85 to 879 of the family's 1478-position model. The record is from RNAcentral. Lineage: Archaea; Methanobacteriati; Methanobacteriota; Methanomicrobia; Methanosarcinales; Methanosarcinaceae.
ACUGCUCAGUAACACGUGGAUAACCUGCCCUUGGGUCCGGCAUAACCCCGGGAAACUGGGGAUAAUUCCGGAUAACGCACAUAUGCUGGAAUGCUUUAUGCGUAAAAUGGAUUCGUCUGCCCAAGGAUGGGUCUGCGGCCUAUCAGGUAGUAGUGGGUGUAAUGUACCUACUAGCCAACAACGGGUAAGGGUUGUGAGAGCAAGAGCCCGGAGAUGGAUUCUGAGACAUGAAUCCAGGCCCUACGGGGCGCAGCAGGCGCGAAAACUUUACAAUGCGGGAAACCGUGAUAAGGGGACACCGAGUGCCAACAUCAUAUGCUGGCUGUCCGGGUGUGUAAAAUACACCCGUUAGCAAGGGCCGGGCAAGACCGGUGCCAGCCGCCGCGGUAACACCGGCGGCCCGAGUGGUGAUCGUGAUUAUUGGGUCUAAAGGGUCCGUAGCCGGUUUGGUCAGUCCUCCGGGAAAUCUGACGGCUUAACCGUUAGGCUUUCGGGGGAUACUGCCAGGCUUGGAACCGGGAGAGGUAAGAGGUACUACAGGGGUAGGAGUGAAAUCUUGUAAUCCCUGUGAGACCACCUGUGGCGAAGGCGUCUUACCAGAACGGGUUCGACGGUGAGGGACGAAGGCUGGGGGCACGAACCGGAUUAGAUACCCGGGUAGUCCCAGCCGUAAACGAUGCUCGCUAGGUGUCAGGCAUGGCGCGACCGUGUCUGGUGCCGCAGGGAAGCCGUGAAGCGAGCCACCUGGGAAGUACGGCCGCAAGGCUGAAACUUAAAGGAAUUGGCGGGGGAGCAC